This 253-nucleotide ribosomal RNA is filed under the name uncultured bacterium. RNAcentral describes it as "partial 16S ribosomal RNA". It matches the Rfam family "Bacterial small subunit ribosomal RNA", at positions 524 to 776 of the family's 1533-position model. The record is from RNAcentral.
UACGGAGGGAGCUAGCGUUGUUCGGAAUUACUGGGCGUAAAGAGCGCGUAGGCGGCUAACUAAGUUGGGAGUGAAAUCCCAGGGCUUAACCCUGGAAUUGCUUUCAAAACUGGCUAGCUAGAGAACGAUAGAGGAUGGUGGAAUUCCUAGUGUAGAGGUGAAAUUCUUAGAUAUUAGGAGGAACAUCGGAGGCGAAGGCGACCAUCUGGGUCGUAUCUGACGCUGAGGUGCGAAAGCGUGGGGAGCAAACAGG